UACAGAGGGUGCGAGCGUUGUCCGGAAUUAUUGGGCGUAAAGAGCUCGUAGGCGGUCUGUCGCGUCGGUCGUGAAAACUUGGGGCUUAACCCUGAGCUUGCGGUCGAUACGGGCAUGACUGGAGUUCGGCAGGGGAGACUGGAAUUCCUGGUGUAGCGGUGAAAUGCGCAGAUAUCAGGAGGAACACCGGUGGCGAAGGCGGGUCUCUGGGCCGAUACUGACGCUGAGGAGCGAAAGCGUGGGGAGCGAACAGG
Molecule: ribosomal RNA, 254 nt
Filed under: uncultured bacterium
Lineage: Bacteria
Description: partial 16S ribosomal RNA
Rfam family: Bacterial small subunit ribosomal RNA
Source: RNAcentral